Molecule: transfer RNA, 87 nt
Filed under: Immundisolibacteraceae bacterium
Lineage: Bacteria; Pseudomonadati; Pseudomonadota; Gammaproteobacteria; Immundisolibacterales; Immundisolibacteraceae
Description: tRNA-Leu
Rfam family: tRNA
About the family: Transfer RNA (tRNA) molecules are approximately 80 nucleotides in length.
Source: RNAcentral
GCCGGGAUGGCGAAACUGGUAGACGCACCAGACUCAAAAUCUGGCGGGGGCAACUCCGUGUCGGUUCGACUCCGACUCUCGGCACCA